AAUAGAUACCCAGGUAGUCCACGCCGUAAACGGUGGGCACUAGGUGUGGGCGGCAUUCCACGUCGUCCGUGCCGUAGCUAACGCAUUAAGUGCCCCCGCCUGGGGGAGUACGGCCGCAAGGCUAAAAACUCAAAGGAAUUGACGGGGGGCCCGCACAAGCGGCGGAGCAUGUGGCUUAAUCCGACGCAACGCGAAGAACCUUACCAAGGCUUGACAUACACCGGAAACAUCCAGAGAUGGGUGCCCCCUUGUGGUCGGCGUACAGGUGGUGCAUGGCUGUCGUCAGCUCGUGUCGUGAGAUGUUGGGUUAAGUCCCGCAACGAGCGCAACCCUUGUCCCGUGUUGCCAGCAGGCCCUUGUGGUGCUGGGGACUCACGGGAGACCGCCGGGGUCAACUCGGAGGAAGGUGGGGACGACGUCAAGUCAUCAUGCCCCUUAUGUCUUGGGCUGCACACGUGCUACAAUGGCCGGUACAAAGAGCUGCGAUGCCGUGAGGCGGAGCGAAUCUCAAAAACGCCGGUCUCAGUUCGGAUUGGGGU
This 539-nucleotide ribosomal RNA is filed under the name uncultured bacterium. Its description in RNAcentral is "bacterial SSU rRNA". It matches the Rfam family "Bacterial small subunit ribosomal RNA", at positions 777 to 1304 of the family's 1533-position model. The record is from RNAcentral.